RNAcentral lists this ribosomal RNA (930 nucleotides) under uncultured marine bacterium. RNAcentral describes it as "bacterial SSU rRNA". It matches the Rfam family "Bacterial small subunit ribosomal RNA", at positions 60 to 1033 of the family's 1533-position model. The record is from RNAcentral.
AGUCGAACGGAGUAGCAAUACUUAGUGGCAGACGGGUGAGUAACAUGUGGGAAUCUUCCCUUUGGUGAGGAAUAACACGAGGAAACUUGUGCUAAUACCUCAUAAGUCUUUACAGAGAAAGCUUUAUGCGCCAUUGGAUGAGCCUGCACUUGAUUAGUUUGUUGGUAGGGUAAUGGCCUACCAAGACUGUGAUCAAUAGCUGAUCUGAGAGGAUGAUCAGCCACAUUGGGACUGAGACACGGCCCAAACUCCUACGGGAGGCAGCAGUAGGGAAUAUUGCACAAUGGAGGAAACUCUGAUGCAGCGAUGCCGCGUGAGUGAAGAAGGCCUUUGGGUUGUAAAGCUCUUUCGUCGGGGAAGAAAAUGACUGUACCCGAAUAAGAAGGUCCGGCUAACUUCGUGCCAGCAGCCGCGGUAAUACGAAGGGACCUAGCGUAGUUCGGAAUUACUGGGCUUAAAGAGUUCGUAGGUUGUUAAAAAAGUUGGUGGUGAAAUCCCAGAGCUUAACUCUGGAACUGCCAUCAAAACUUUUUAGCUAGAGUAUGAUAGAGGAAAGCAGAAUUUCUAGUGUAGAGGUGAAAUUCGUAGAUAUUAGAAAGAAUACCAAUUGCGAAGGCAGCUUUCUGGAUCAUUACUGACACUGAGGAACGAAAGCAUGGGUAGCGAAGAGGAUUAGAUACCCUCGUAGUCCAUGCCGUACACGAUGUGUGUUAGACGUUGGAAAUUUAUUUUCAGUGUCGCAGCGAAAGCAUUAAACACACCGCCUGGGGAGUACGACCGCAAGGUUUAAAACUCAAAUGAAUUGACGGGGACCCGCACAAGUAGUGGAGCAUGUGGUUUAAUUCGAAGAUACGCGCAGAACCUUACCAACACUUGACAUGUUCGUCGCGACUUUAAGAGAUUAAAGUUUUCGGUUCGGCCGGACGAAAC